RNAcentral lists this ribosomal RNA (631 nucleotides) under uncultured Flavobacterium sp. RNAcentral describes it as "bacterial SSU rRNA". It matches the Rfam family "Bacterial small subunit ribosomal RNA", at positions 73 to 705 of the family's 1533-position model. Lineage: Bacteria; Pseudomonadati; Bacteroidota; Flavobacteriia; Flavobacteriales; Flavobacteriaceae. The record is from RNAcentral.
AUAGUAGCAAUACUAGAGACCGGCGCACGGGUGCGUAACGCGUAUGCAAUCUACCUUAUACAGAGGGAUAGCCCAGAGAAAUUUGGAUUAAUACCUCAUAGCAUAGCAACUUCGCAUGAAGUCACUAUUAAAGUUCCAACGGUAUAAGAUGAGCAUGCGUCCUAUUAGCUAGAUGGUAAGGUAACGGCUUACCAUGGCUACGAUAGGUAGGGGUCCUGAGAGGGAGAUCCCCCACACUGGUACUGAGACACGGACCAGACUCCUACGGGAGGCAGCAGUGAGGAAUAUUGGACAAUGGGCGCAAGCCUGAUCCAGCCAUGCCGCGUGCAGGAAGACGCAUCUAUGGUGUGUAAACUGCUUUUGUACGGGAAGAAACACUCCCUCGUGAGGGAGCUUGACGGUACCGUAAGAAUAAGGAUCGGCUAACUCCGUGCCAGCAGCCGCGGUAAUACGGAGGAUCCAAGCGUUAUCCGGAAUCAUUGGGUUUAAAGGGUCCGUAGGCGGUUUGGUAAGUCAGUGGUGAAAGCCCAUCGCUUAACGAUGGAACGGCCAUUGAUACUGCCAGACUUGAAUUACUGGGAAGUAACUAGAAUAUGUAGUGUAGCGGUGAAAUGCUUAGAUAUUACAUGGA